This 492-nucleotide ribosomal RNA is filed under the name uncultured bacterium. Its description in RNAcentral is "partial 16S ribosomal RNA". It matches the Rfam family "Bacterial small subunit ribosomal RNA", at positions 29 to 507 of the family's 1533-position model. The record is from RNAcentral.
AGUGAACGCUGGCGGUAGGCCUAACACAUGCAAGUCGAACGGCAGCACAGUAAGAGCUUGCUCUUACGGGUGGCGAGUGGCGGACGGGUGAGGAAUACAUCGGAAUCUACUUUUACGGGGGGGAUAACGUAGGGAAAGUUACGCUAAUACCGCAUACGACCUACGGGUGAAAGCAGGGGAUCUUCGGACCUUUCGCGAUUGAAUGAGCCGAUGUCGGAUUAGCUAGUUGGCGGGGUAAAGGCCCACCAAGGCGACGAUCCGUAGCUGGUCUGAGAGGAUGAUCAGCCACACUGGAACUGAGACACGGUCCAGACUCCUACGGGAGGCAGCAGUGGGGAAUAUUGGACAAUGGGCGCAAGCCUGAUCCAGCCAUACCGCGUGGGUGAAGAAGGCCUUCGGGUUGUAAAGCCCUUUUGUUGGGAAAGAAAAGCAGCAGGUUAAUACCCCGCUGUUCUGACGGUACCCAAAGAAUAAGCACCGGCUAACUUCGUG